ACGGGUGAGUAACACGUGGACAACCUGCCCAGAAGUGGGGGAUAACCUGGGGAAACUCGGGCUAAUACCGCAUACGGUUCGCGAGGCUUCGGCCUUGCGCAGAAAGGUGGCCUAUGCUUGCAAGCCACCGCUCCUGGAGGGGUCCGCGUCUGAUUAGCUAGUUGGCGGGGUAAUGGCCCACCAAGGCGACGAUCAGUAGCCGGCCUGAGAGGGUGAUCGGCCACACUGGAACUGAGACACGGUCCAGACUCCUACGGGAGGCAGCAGUGGGGAAUAUUGGACAAUGGGGGAAACCCUGAUCCAGCAACGCCGCGUGGAGGAUGAAGGUCUUCGGAUUGUAAACUCCUGUUAGGGGGGACGAAGGAAUGCCGGCGAACAGCUGACGGUACCCCCAGAGGAA
This 400-nucleotide ribosomal RNA is filed under the name grassland soil clone sl3_806. Its description in RNAcentral is "bacterial SSU rRNA". It matches the Rfam family "Bacterial small subunit ribosomal RNA", at positions 102 to 489 of the family's 1533-position model. The record is from RNAcentral.